RNAcentral lists this ribosomal RNA (301 nucleotides) under uncultured bacterium. RNAcentral describes it as "partial 16S ribosomal RNA". It matches the Rfam family "Bacterial small subunit ribosomal RNA", at positions 509 to 809 of the family's 1533-position model. The record is from RNAcentral.
CAGCCGCCGCGGUAAUACGGAGGGUGCAAGCGUUAAUCUGAAUUACUGGGCGUAAAGCGCACGCAGGCGGUCUGUCAAGUCGGAUGUGAAAUCCCCGGGCUCAACCUGGGAACUGCAUUCGAAACUGGCAGGCUAGAGUCUUGUAGAGGGGGGUAGAAUUCCAGGUGUAGCGGUGAAAUGCGUAGAGAUCUGGAGGAAUACCGGUGGCGAAGGCGGCCCCCUGGACAAAGACUGACGCUCAGGUGCGAAAGCGUGGGGAGCAAACAGGAUUAGAUACCCCGGUAGUCCCUGUCUCUUAUAA